RNAcentral lists this long non-coding RNA (1139 nucleotides) under Homo sapiens (human). RNAcentral's name for it is "mir-99a-let-7c cluster host gene". The record is from RNAcentral. Lineage: Eukaryota; Metazoa; Chordata; Mammalia; Primates; Hominidae.
GGGUGUUGGACAACCAUAGGCAAAACUGAAAUGGAACAGGGGCAGAAAAUAGCACACUUUUACUCUACGCAACUGUUGCUUUUUCAUGAUCUUCAGGAAUUUUACUGGGAUAAUUAUCCAAAUAAAUUGCAAGCAUUCUAUCCAAAUGGUGAUCUUCUGAGAUAUUUUGAGGGAAAGAGGUAGUAUACCAAAAUGGAAAUACUACGCAAGGAGCUCUUUCUGAGAUGAAGAGAAUUCUCAAUGUCAAGAUUUGAACAAGAAGAGAAUGGAAUACACAAUAUGGACAUCCAUAAAAAUUCAUCAGAGAGCAUUUUACUACUGAGCUGCAAAGGUAGGAAAAAUAAAUUUUUUUUGGUUAGAAAAUAUACUUCUUUCAUCUGCGUUUCAAUAAUUUAUUCCCCUUGUUAGAUAUACAUGGAAUUGAUAUUGCUUAUUCUGACUAAGUGAAAAGUGUUAUUUCUACUUACUGCUCAAUUAGAAACAUGUAGUGUUUAAUUGUCAGUUUGAAUUUUUCUUUCAUACUAUUACAGUUUAUAUUUUACUAUAGGCAGAAUUUCCUCUUUAUCCUAAAUUUUGAUAUUCUCCAUAAUUUCAUCGUGCCUUGACAUUGCUGUAUAUAAUUUCUAUACAUCAGGAAGGCAAUUCUGUGUGCAUGUGUGUGUGUAUAUAUAUAGUUAGAAGUUAGAAACUGAAACUCUUUUUUGUCUACCAUCAUUUCAUAUUUUUCUUGCUAUUUCAAACCUAUAAUUUUUAAAGAAACGACUAACGUAAUCAUUCAUAGAAUAUGCUGUCAGUAACUUAACAAUAUAAAUGUUAACAUGGAGGCAUUUAGUUCAGCAUUUGCUUUACUUAAUAGAGUGCAGAAAAUGUGGCCCUUUUCUCAGUUAGGGUGUAUGUGAAGAUAAAUUUAGAAUUUCUAGACUAGUAAAUACUUCUCUGAUAAUAACUUAAUUAUAGCUAUUUCAAACCAAAUUGUUUAAUUGUGGUGAAUCAUAUGUAAAUUGUUCAGAUGUAGGUCAACACCCACGCCCACAUUCUAGCACCUCUUUCCUAAUUCAAGACAACUUUGCAGUGCCUAAAAGAGCUGAACAGUGCAGAUUAGAGACAUAAGACAAAAAAAAAAAAAAAACACAAAACAA